UACGUAGGGUGCGAGCGUUGUCCGGAAUUAUUGGGCGUAAAGAGCUCGUAGGCGGUUUGUUGCGUCGGCCGUGAAAACCUGCAGCUUAACUGUGGGCCUGCGGCCGAUACGGGCAGACUUGAGUUCGGUAGGGGAGACUGGAAUUCCUGGUGUAGCGGUGAAAUGCGCAGAUAUCAGGAGGAACACCGGUGGCGAAGGCGGGUCUCUGGGCCGAUACUGACGCUGAGGAGCGAAAGCAUGGGUAGCGAACAGG
This 253-nucleotide ribosomal RNA is filed under the name uncultured bacterium. Its description in RNAcentral is "partial 16S ribosomal RNA". It matches the Rfam family "Bacterial small subunit ribosomal RNA", at positions 524 to 776 of the family's 1533-position model. The record is from RNAcentral.